Dermacentor silvarum is the source of this 1853-nucleotide long non-coding RNA. RefSeq lists it as uncharacterized. NCBI's taxonomy places the organism in Eukaryota, Metazoa, Arthropoda, Arachnida, Ixodida, Ixodidae. The record is from RefSeq and is a predicted model, not a curated record. The transcript has 8 exons.
AAAGCAGCGGGGAUUCUGCCUUCGUGUGCUGUUUGACGUCGACCUCAAGCAUUUCUCCACAGGAGCAUAUGGCACAUUAACUGCAGAUUGCCUCCGGCAGUGAUCACAUAGUCAUACUCACGGUUAAGGGCAACAUGCAGACCAUGGGAUGCGGAGAGCAAGGACAGCUGGGACGAGUGCCUAUGCGAACCACCUUGCACCGAGCAUGCUGAACUUCACUAGACCUGCUUAAGCCCACCAAUGUCUACAUACUGAAACCCUGUGUAUGCAAAGCAGCGGGGAUUCUGCCUUCGUGUGCUGUUUGACGUCGAGCUCAAGCAUUUCUCCACAGGAGCAUAUGGCACAUUAACUGCAGGGCAACAUGCAGACCAUGGGAUGCGGAGAGCAAGGACAGCUGGGACGAGUGCCUAUGCGAACCACCUUGCACCGAGCAUGCUGAACUUCACUAGACCUGCUUAAGCCCACCAAUGUCUACAUACUGAAACCAUGUGUAUGCAAAGCAGCGGGGAUUCUGCCUUCGUGUGCUGUUUGACGUCGAGCUCAAGCACUUCUCCACAGGGGCAUUUGCCACAUAAACUGCAGUAUGCAAAGCAGCGGGGAUUCUGCCUUCGUGUGCUGUUUGACGUCGAGCUGAAGCACUUCUCCACAGGAGCAUUUGCCACAUAAACUGCCGGGAACAAUGAAACACACGAGGACUACAUUGCAUGCAUCAGCCUUCUCGAGGGAGGCGGCGCCUGGUCACGGAGUGUGUUUUUCAUGUCCACAUGCAGUGCUUGUCGUACAAGCUGACGCACCUGUACUUCAACUGCCCCGGCACCAUCCGCGUGCCGGCACCCUGCCAGUACGCCUACAAGCUGACUUUCCUGGCCGGCCAGUCGCUGCACGGCGAGCACAGCCUCCACCUGGCAUCCACCCUGUUUUACCUGUAAUGGGCUUUGAAUUUUUUUAAUGUUAGUUAUUUAACUUUUAAAAUUGUGUUUAUUUGUAUUUAGUUCUUGCUUCUUAAAUACGAACCCUUUCUCUGUACAUCAUUGCACGGGUCUCGCCCACACAUUCUGUUUUCUCCUGCUUACCAUUCACUUUUAUUCUGCUUCGUAUAGUCAACGAAGCAUGUAUUUCAACUCCAUCAAUAAAUUUUGUUUUAGCAAGCGGAUUUUUGUGUCCUGCCCACGUAGGUAGCACACCUGAGCAAGUGGUGCUAGAUGCUGGCAACAUUCACAAGUGUUCCUAUCAUAGCUUUCUGCAAAAAUUUUUUAUCACGCUGCGACCCAUCGCCGGCAUUGGGAAUGAUGGUUGUUCUAGUAUUUACCAUCUGUCCGAAGCGCCUCGUUUAUGUAGUAUGAGGGAUAACGCGGCGCGCUCCUCAUAGGUUUGCCUGUCGGCGCUCAAUAAAAACACCACGCGGAAGCCCUCAUGGCCAUUUCUGUAAGUACUAGUACUCUCCAAACGGGUAAAGUUGCUUACUGUGAAAAUAUUAUUGGGCAAACAGAAAGUACAGAAUAGUUUACAGGUGUCCUGUACCGGGCGACAACCAGCAGAGCGCAACGCCUUACACUGACAGUCACCGUUGAAGAGUAGCAAUUUGCAUACCGACGCAAUCGGGUGACGCAGGCAUCUGCUGCCGCACCCAACACAGCAAUAUGCACUAUACCUGCGUUUUAGCAUUAAUUAAUACAUGUAACCUGGGACUGUACUAAGCACCCUCAUAGGCCAACUAAUAAUAUCUUAGUGGAGCAGUGGGGGGCACAGCUCACCCGUUCCGACUUGGCAGGACAAAAGUCCUUAAUUAGCCAGGUCAGGCAGGCGGCAGAGGCCAGUGGGGCCCUGGACUGAGGGGCUCGAUCGGACCACCG